RNAcentral lists this unclassified non-coding RNA (218 nucleotides) under Paraglomerales sp. Its description in RNAcentral is "partial contains 5.8S ribosomal RNA and internal transcribed spacer 2". The stretch from base 1 to 65 matches the Rfam family "5.8S ribosomal RNA", at positions 84 to 154 of the family's 154-position model. Lineage: Eukaryota; Fungi; Glomeromycota; Glomeromycetes; Paraglomerales. The record is from RNAcentral.
GUGAAUCAUCAAAUCUUUGAACGCAAAUUGCGCCUUUUUCGGAAGGCAUGUCUGUUUGAGGGCACCAUUUAACAAAUAAUGUGCAGCGUUUUUUGUUGCACACGUUGAUGAGCUUUCCAAGAAUUUUAAAUUUUUGGUGGCGCAUAAUGAACAGCGUGAAGCUUUUUUUUUCAGUCGGAUUGUGGUAAAAUUUUUGUUGGGGUUGUGAAAAGCGUAAU